AGAGUUUGAUCCUGGCUCAGAAUGAACGUUGGCAGCGUGGAUUAGGCAUGCAAGUCGAGCGACAAGGUUCCUUCGGGGACUGGAGGAGCGGCAAACGGGGUAGUAAGGCAUCGGAACGUACCCUUCUGUUCGGGAUAGCCGCGGGAAACUGCGAGUAAUACCGGAUAACACCGGCCUUUGUGAUGAAGGCCGGUCAAAGGUCCGCCGCGGAAGGAGCGGCCGAUGUGAUAUCAGCUUGUUGGCGGGGUAACGGCCCACCAAGGCAUAGACGUCUAGGGGAUGUGAGAGCAUGAUCCCCACCACUGGGACUGAGAUACUGCCCAGACACCUACGGGUGGCUGCAGUCGAGGAUCUUCGGCAAUGGGCGCAAGCCUGACCGAGCGACGCUGCGUGCGGGAUGAAGGCCCUUGGGUUGUAAACCGCUGUCAGAGGGGAUGAAAGCGAAAGCUUGACAGAGCCUCAGAGAAGCGCGCAUGC
Molecule: ribosomal RNA, 477 nt
Filed under: uncultured Planctomyces sp.
Lineage: Bacteria; Pseudomonadati; Planctomycetota; Planctomycetia; Planctomycetales; Planctomycetaceae
Description: bacterial SSU rRNA
Rfam family: Bacterial small subunit ribosomal RNA
Source: RNAcentral